This is a long non-coding RNA of Anolis carolinensis (green anole), 2547 nucleotides long. RefSeq lists it as uncharacterized. Lineage: Eukaryota; Metazoa; Chordata; Lepidosauria; Squamata; Anolidae. The record is from RefSeq and is a predicted model, not a curated record. The transcript is spliced from 2 exons.
UUACUGGCUCUCUCUCUGAAGGCCUCCAGAGGAGGCAAGAUGCUCUUUCCAUCUUCAGUCGAAAUCCCUCCUACUCUUCCUUAGAACCACUAGACCUGGCCCUCUCCUCAGAGGGCACAUAGGAAUCGGAGAAUGCACAAGAGAAGUAGAGAGUAUGUGUUGUUGAAGGCUUUAAUGGCCGGAAUCACAGGGUUGCUGUGAGUUUUCUGGGCUGUAUGGCCAUGUUCCAGAAGCAUUCUCUCCUGACGUUUCGCCAACAUCUGUGGCAGGCAUUCUCAGAGGCUCUGAGGUCUGUUGGAAACUCGGCAAGCAGGGUUUAUAUAUCUGUGGAAUCUCCAGAGUGGAAAAAAGAACUCUUGUCUGUCUGAGGCAAGUGUGAAUGUUGCAAUUAAUCACACUGAUUAGCAUUUAAUGGCCUUGCAGCCAUGGGGGGGCUCCCAUGUCUGGGGGAAUCCUUUGUUCGGAGGUGUUAGCUGACCUUGAUUGUUUCAUAUCUGGAAUUCCCCUGUUUUCAGAGUGAGUUUUUAAAAUACUGGUAGCCAGAUUAUGUUCAUUUUCAUUGUUUUCUCUUUUCUGUUAAAAUUGUCCACAUGCUUGUGGAUUUCAAUGGCUUUUCUUUGUAGCCUGACAUGGUGGUUUUUUACAGUGGCCCAGCAUUUCUGUGUUCUCAAAUAAUAUGCUGUGCCCAGGUUGUUUCAUCAACUGCUCUGCUAUGGCUGACUUCUCUGGUUGAAUUAGUCUACAGUGCCUUUAAUGUUCCUUGAUUUGUGUUUGGGUGCUGCAUUUGAUGAUCCCUAUGUAGACUUGUCCACAGCUGCGUGGUACUCUGUAGACUCCUGCAGAGGUGAGAGGAUCCUUCUUGUCCUUUGCUGAAUGUAGCAUUUGUUGGAUUUUCUUGGUGGGUUUAUAGAUGGUUUGUUUCUUCAUCAGCUUCCCUAUGCGGUCAGUGGUUCAUUUGAUGUAUGGUAAGAACACUUUUCCUCUGGGUGGAUCUUCAUCUUUACUCUCGUGACUUGUUCUUGGCCUUGCAGUUUUUCUGAUGUCUGUGGUGGAUGGGAAUUCCAGACAUGAAACAGUCAGGGCCAGCUAACACCUCCCAACAAAGGGUUCCCGCAGGCAGGCAGGCUUUGAAUCUGCAAGGCCAUUAAAUGCUAAUCAAUGUGAUCAAUUGCAACAUUCACAUUGCCUCAAACAGACAAGAGUUCUUUCUCCCACCCUAGACCUUCCGCAGAUAUAUAAACCUAACUUCCUAGUUUCCAACAACCUCUGAGGAUGCCUGCCAUGGAUGUGGGUGAAAUUUCAGGAGAGAAUGCUUCUGGAACAUGGCCAAACAGCCCAGAAAACUUGCAGCAACCCAGUGAUUCUGGCCAUGAAAGCCUUCGACAACAUACUCUCUUCCUGUUACUUAGAACCACUAGACCUGGCUCUCCCCUCAGAGGGAACAAAUGAAUCUGAGAAUGCACAAAAGAAGUCUAGACUUCCUACAAAAGAGACAAAACUUCAGUUCCUGAGUAUACUAAUAAAGCUAUCAAGAAUUUGGGAAGGCACACUCUUGCAGCACCUACCUCUUUGGGGUAGUUUUGAGGUAUUUAAAGAGAGCAAAUAUGCUGUUCCUCAGCCGCCUUCUCUUCACGAAGGUGAACAUGCCCAGCUCUUUCAGCCAUUCCUUCAGAUGUUUUGCCUCCAUGUCUCAAAUGAGCCUGGUUGCUUUUCUCUCAGGGCUCCAACUUCUCUAUCUUUUCUUAAAAUGAGUUGAUCCAAAACUGAACACAGUCCUCCAGGUGAGGCCUGAUCAACACUAAAUGUGGUAGGACUAUUACUUUCCUCAGAUGGAACCAGGCAGAUUCUCCCAAACAAAAAGAUACCAUGUUGAAGUAUUUCAAUUUAAAGAUAUAAUCAGGAAAAAGAAACACCCAUGCAGAUGUAAUAAAGAAAAUGGAUAGCUCAGCUGAAUGAAGACACAAUUCUAUAAUACCCUCAUUUUCAACAUCAAAGAGAAUUACAGAAAACGGUAACAGAAGGACUGAGCUUACACAGUAAUCUUCUUUUCUCAUAAAAGCACAUUUCAUAAGCAACUAUAUUUAUCUUGCUUUAAAAUGGCACAAAUGAGCAAUGCCAGAGUGACGAGGGGGAACAAAAUAAAGGAGUAAACAUCUGUGUAAAGUUUUAUUUUUAAAGUGAUAUUCUAACCCAAGGCAUAUCCAAUUGAAGCAAAAACAACAUUCAACUUAACAUUUGAAAACGUUGCAUCAAAAUAAGUCCUUAGUCAGCAAAAAUUAUGCUGAAAAAUUAAUAUAGGUUACUGAAUAUAUUGCACAAGAUUUCCCUAGCCUAAAAUGAUACAUUUUAAUAUAUUGGUUUUAUGGUUCCAGUCCCCUUGAUCUUGUCAUGUAAGUGUGAUUUAUUGUUAUAAUUGUAUUAUUUUACUUUGUUCAAUAAUGUGUAUUAUGAUGUUAUGUAAUGUUUGUGUUUGCUUUUAUGACUGUAAACCGCCCUGAGUCCCAUCUGGGAGAUAGGGCGGUAUAUAAAUAAAGUUUUAUUAUUUUA